This is a long non-coding RNA of Carassius gibelio (silver crucian carp), 841 nucleotides long. RefSeq lists it as uncharacterized. The record is from RefSeq and is a predicted model, not a curated record. Lineage: Eukaryota; Metazoa; Chordata; Actinopteri; Cypriniformes; Cyprinidae. The transcript has 6 exons.
CAGCAUUCAUCGGUGAGUUUGACCAAAGCAACACUCAACUGCAGGGAAAACGACAUAAAAAGGUGAGUUUAACAACGCUCCAAGGCGCGUGCAAGUAAGCAGUUUAACCGUUUUCUUACACACCAUUCUCGCUUAUCGCUUAUUCAUAGUUCAUCAUCUCUAUGAAAUCACGUUCAAGAAGUCUCAUUCAGCACACAUCGCGAUACUUGCCAUCAGUUUCCAUGUGCCACAGGGUCGAUGUAAAGGAAGCAGUCAUCCCUGUGGUGUUUGUGGAGAGGUUUUCCUUCAGAAAUGGAGAAGACAGAAAGCUGCGGAGGCAGACAUUUGCAGCAGCCAAGUGUUCGAGUGAGCAUGAUGACCACAAGUGUGUGUCGAACUUUUCAUGACCUGAUGACAGUGGUUCCCAAUCCUGAUCCUGGAGAACCCCAGCACUGCACGGUUUUGGCGUCUCUCUUAUCUGUCUUGGAGUCUUCACUGAUGAGCUGAUGAGUUGAAUCAGGAUUGUUUGCAGAUAAUGCUGUUCAAGCUCAACAGCUCUUUUAAGAGCUAACCCUCACAAACCUUCCUAAAAACUAAAAGAGCUAUUACUGAGUCUCAGCGAAUUUUGCCAUGAUCAGCUCUUCCCAGAAGAGAAGGAAGACCAAGGAAAUGAUUUGCUCAUGAGGAAUGAAGACGGCCAUCUUGAGCCCAAACAAAGACAGAAGUCCUCUGAUGAUCUCAUCAGCCAAAUGGGGGGUUUUGACCAAGUGAUGCUCUUGAAAGGACUGAAAGAAGAGGAUGUGGUAAAUUGUCUUCAGAGAAAAACCUUCUCAAAAGGUCUUAAAACAGCUUGAAGAAUGGU